AGUAAUAUAUCGGAACGUGCCCAGUAGUGGGGGAUAGCCCGGCGAAAGCCGGAUUAAUACCGCAUAGUAAUGUUGGGUGGCAUCACUUGAUAUUUAAAGAUUUAUCACUUAGAGAUGGCUGUGCGGCUGAUUAGGUAGUUGGCGGGGUAAAGGCCCACCAAGCCAUCGAUCAGUAACUGGUGUGAGAGCACGACCAGUCACACGGGCACUGAGACACGGGCCCG
Molecule: ribosomal RNA, 224 nt
Filed under: uncultured bacterium
Lineage: Bacteria
Description: partial 16S ribosomal RNA
Rfam family: Bacterial small subunit ribosomal RNA
Source: RNAcentral